RNAcentral lists this ribosomal RNA (376 nucleotides) under uncultured eukaryote. RNAcentral describes it as "partial 18S ribosomal RNA". It matches the Rfam family "Eukaryotic small subunit ribosomal RNA", at positions 592 to 976 of the family's 1831-position model. The record is from RNAcentral.
CAAUAGCGUAUAUUUAAGUUGCUGCAGUUAAAAAGCUCGUAGUUGGAUUUCGGGUGGGAAUGGCCGGUCCGCCGUUUCGGUGUGCACUUGCUACGCCCACCUUGCUGCCGGGGACGUGCUCUUGAGUUCACGCUCGGGACACGGAGUCGGCGAGGUUACUUUGAGUAAAUUAGAGUGUUCAAAGCAGGCCUACGCUCUGAAUACAUUAGCAUGAAUAACACGAUAGGACUCUGGCCUAUCUUGUUGGUCUGUAGGACCGGAGUAAUGAUUAAGAGGGACAGUCGGGGGCAUUCGUAUUUCAUUGUCAGAGGUGAAAUUCUUGGAUUUAUGAAAGACGAACUACUGCGAAAGCAUUUGCCAAGGAUGUUUUCAUUAA